Molecule: ribosomal RNA, 502 nt
Filed under: uncultured bacterium
Lineage: Bacteria
Description: partial 16S ribosomal RNA
Rfam family: Bacterial small subunit ribosomal RNA
Source: RNAcentral
AUUGAACGCUGGCGGAAUGCUUUACACAUGCAAGUCGAACGGCAGCACGGGUGCUUGCACCUGGUGGCGAGUGGCGAACGGGUGAGUAAUACAUCGGAACGUACCCAGUCGUGGGGGAUAACGUAGCGAAAGUUACGCUAAUCCCGCAUACGUCCUGAGGGAGAAAGCGGGGGGCCGUAAGGCCUCGCGCGAUUGCAGCGGCCGAUGGCGGAUUAGCUGGUUGGUGGGGUAAAGGCCUACCAAGGCGACGAUCCGUAGCGGGUCUGAGAGGACGGCCCGCCACACUGGAACUGAGACACGGUCCAGACUCCUACGGGAGGCAGCAGUGGGGAAUUUUGGACAAUGGGCGAAAGCCUGAUCCAGCCAUUCCGCGUGAGUGAAGAAGGCCUUCGGGUUGUAAAGCUCUUUCGGCAGGGAAGAAACGGCUUGGGAUAAUACCCCGGGCUAAUGACGGUACCUGAAGAAGAAGCACCGGCUAACUACGUGCCAGCAGCCGCGGUAA